UGGGGAAUUUUGGACAAUGGACGCAAGUCUGAUCCAGCCAUGCCGCGUGCGGGAAGAAGGCCUUCGGGUUGUAAACCGCUUUUGUCAGGGAAGAAACGAGUUUCUCUAAUACAGAGACUUAAUGACGGUACCUGAAGAAUAAGCACCGGCUAACUACGUGCCAGCAGCCGCGGUAAUACGUAGGGUGCAAGCGUUAAUCGGGAUUGCUGGGCGUAAAGCGUGCGCAGGCGGUUAUGCAAGACAGAUGUGAAAUCCCCGGGCUCAACCUGGGAACGGCCUUUGUGACUGCAUAGCUAGAGUAUGGUAGAGGGGGAUGGAAUUCCGCGUGUAGCAGUGAAAUGCGUAGAUAUGCGGAGGAACACCGAUGGCGAAGGCAAUCCCCUGGGCCUGUACUGACGCUCAUGCACGAAAGCGUGGGGAGCAAACA
RNAcentral lists this ribosomal RNA (427 nucleotides) under uncultured bacterium. Its description in RNAcentral is "bacterial SSU rRNA". It matches the Rfam family "Bacterial small subunit ribosomal RNA", at positions 355 to 774 of the family's 1533-position model. The record is from RNAcentral.